UACGUAGGGGGGCAAGCGUUGUCCGGAUUUAUUGGGCGUAAAGAGCGUGUAGGCGGUUUUACAGGUCCCGCUGUGAAAACUCGAGGCUCAACCUCGAGCUGUCGGUGGAAACCAUCAGACUAGAGUCCGGAAGAGGAGAGUGGAAUUCCUGGUGUAGCGGUGAAAUGCGCAGAUAUCAUUUGGAACGCCAAUGGUGAAAACAACUCGCUGGGGGUGUGCUGACGCGUGAGACACGAAAGCCCAGGGGAGCGAACGGG
This 257-nucleotide ribosomal RNA is filed under the name uncultured bacterium. RNAcentral describes it as "partial 16S ribosomal RNA". It matches the Rfam family "Bacterial small subunit ribosomal RNA", at positions 524 to 776 of the family's 1533-position model. The record is from RNAcentral.